GAAGCAUGGAACCUAUGCUUGAACUUGGACGCUCAAGGUUGUACGAAGAACAGAUUACCAUCAUGAGGUGUAGCGAUCAAAGACCGAGUCACAAGAUAGAUUGUACGGGGAUCCUUGAUUAUGUAAAAUGAUAGUUAUAAGCUAUGCUUUUAUUUUGUAAAUGUGUACAAAAGAUACCUAUAUUGUAAGAAGGUAUUUUAUAAUGAA
Helianthus annuus (common sunflower) is the source of this 207-nucleotide long non-coding RNA. RefSeq lists it as uncharacterized. The record is from RefSeq and is a predicted model, not a curated record. NCBI's taxonomy places the organism in Eukaryota, Viridiplantae, Streptophyta, Magnoliopsida, Asterales, Asteraceae. The transcript has 2 exons.